Molecule: ribosomal RNA, 449 nt
Filed under: uncultured bacterium
Lineage: Bacteria
Description: bacterial SSU rRNA
Rfam family: Bacterial small subunit ribosomal RNA
Source: RNAcentral
UACGGGAGGCAGCAGGGGGGAAUAUUGCACAAUGGGCGCAAGCCUGAUGCAGCCAUGCCGCGUGUAUGAAAAAGGCCUUCGGGUUUGUAAAGUCUUUCAGUCGUGAGAGGUGUUAGGUUAUACCUAGCAAUUGACGUUAGCGACAGAAGAAGCACCGGCUAACUCCGUGCCAGCAGCCGCGGUAAUACGGAGGGUGCGAGCGUUAAUCGGAAUUACUGGGCGUAAAGGGCACGCAGGCGGUUAAUUAAGUUGGAUGUGAAAUCCCCGGGCUUAACCUGGGAAUGGCAUUCAAGACUGGUUAGCUAGAGUCUUGUAGAGGGGGUAGAAUUCCAUGUGUAGCGGUGAAAUGCGUAGAGAUGUGGAGGAAUACCGGUGGCGAAAGGCGGCCCCUGGACAAAGACUGACGCUCAUGUGCGAAAGCGUGGGGAGCAAACAGGGAUUAGGAUACC